Arachis duranensis is the source of this 558-nucleotide long non-coding RNA. RefSeq lists it as uncharacterized. Lineage: Eukaryota; Viridiplantae; Streptophyta; Magnoliopsida; Fabales; Fabaceae. The transcript has 3 exons. The record is from RefSeq and is a predicted model, not a curated record.
CAAGGGAGAAAAAGAAAAAAAAAAGAAAAGAAGGUGGAGAAGAAACAAGUUUUUCUGAAGGGGAAAGAAAAGGGAAAGCAAAAGAAAGAAGAAAAGAAAAUUGUUUUUCUGGAUUCUUCUUCGAAAGAAGACAGUUUUUCCGAUUCCGAAUCCGAAUCAAUAUCUGAGAAAACACUGUCAGCCGAGAGAACAAGACAACGGAGGCUAGUUAAAAAAUAAAACAUUGUUCCGACGGAUUCGGAAACAACAAGUGAAACUGAAAGCAGUUCCACGGAUUCAGAAAGCAGAAGUGAAUCUGAAAACCAAGAAGAAGAAGAAAUUGAAAAAUAAGCAACAAAGAAAAGAAAACAACCACAAAAAGUGGUUAAAAAAGAAAGCAAAAAAAGGAAGCCUGUGCCGACGGAUUCAGAGAGCACAAGCAAAUCUGAAAGCCAAGAAAAAGAAAUAAAAAAAACUCCGACAGUAAAGAGAAAACAACCGGAGAGGGGUGCAAAAAAAAACCAAAUCAAGCAAGCUUGUUCUGACAGAUUCAGAGAGCAAAACUGAAUCUGAAAGCGA